AUGAUAGAUCUGGCGCGCGGCGUGGUUGCGAUUAUUAUAUAAGGAUUCUGCAUUUUCUGUUGGGGGUUGGAAAAUCUGCUACAUUCAUCUACUUUCUGGUUUUGGAAGCUUUAAGAGUUGGAUGCAGACCUUCAUAGGAUAGCUUCAAGCUCCUCAAUAGCAUGGAAUCUCAAGCCAUGAAGUUAAAGCUAGGACGCGAUCAAAGCAACAUGAGGAGCUAAAUUCCUUGUGGAGGUAGGAUCUAGGAAAGCUUAGGAUGUAGUUGAAUCUCAUGUAAUCUGCUUAAUUGUAAGGAUUUACUCUGUUAACAGUGUUUACUUAAU
RNAcentral lists this long non-coding RNA (323 nucleotides) under Trifolium pratense (red clover). RNAcentral describes it as "long non-coding RNA (TPRA_LNC014055)". Lineage: Eukaryota; Viridiplantae; Streptophyta; Magnoliopsida; Fabales; Fabaceae. The record is from RNAcentral.